RNAcentral lists this non-coding RNA (30 nucleotides) under Mus musculus (house mouse). The record is from RNAcentral. Lineage: Eukaryota; Metazoa; Chordata; Mammalia; Rodentia; Muridae.
CAGCCCUGCCUCCUAAGGUUGCAUCCCUUC